GGUUGGAAGCUUCAGAGAAGCUGUUGAAGAAAUAACAUGGAAGCACGGAGCUGCUAAGCAAAGAAGGUAGGAAGCAGUCCAGGCAAGGAGUAAGGGAUAGGAAGCCUAUAAGCUAUGCUAAUAGAAGGAGUCAUGGACUACUUCAUGAACAAAAUAAAUAGUUUCCUGGACCUGGCCACAACUGGAUGCCAUAGACUGGUCCAUCUGAAAGCACUAGACUGGACAUAACCUGAAGUAGAAAAAACAAAAUGGCACACGACUUGUUCUAGAGAGAGAAUUUUUUAAGAUAAUAGAAAAUUCUUAAAGAGCGGCCUUGAUUGGGAAGGCAUUCAGGAAAGAUACCAAAGAAAAAAAGAAGCAAAGGAACUUUUUCAAAAGCAAUAACAUGCCUGUAGCUAUAUAUAUCUAUAGAUAUAUAUAAAUUCCUGCUUCCUUUUUUUUUGUUUCAGCCCUGCAUACCCUUUCUACUAUUGCCCUUUGUUUCCUUUUUGUUUACAUCAUUUUUUCAAGUAGCUUUACAAAGUUCAUACCAAAAAUUUUCAUCUUGUGAGUUGUGACAUGUUAAUCAGAUUAAUUAUAACUUGGCUUUGUUUCUUGAAAUACUUGGAAAAAAAGCAUGUUUGUUGUGUGUUUUUGUUUGUUUUUUUUAAUCAUAGAAAAACUUAACUUUAUUGUAAAAAGAAUAAAGGGCCAUGUGGUACCUUUUGAAAACCACAGACUUUCCCCCUUAAAUUCUCUCCACUGGAAAGUCUCCAUGCAAAGUAAACAGGGGUGAUUUAAAAAAUACAAAUAAAAAGAGGGGUGGGGGAUUAGGAUAAAACAUUAAUUCUUUGGUUUAAAUUAGAAUUCUUAAUUUGUUUCUUUUUAAUUUGGAACUUCUUACUAAAAGCAGGCUAAAAUGAAAUGGAAAUUGAAUAAAAACAUAAGGCCUUAAUUUGUAAUAUUUUAAAAUAUUUAAAUA
Molecule: long non-coding RNA, 961 nt
Organism: Alligator mississippiensis (American alligator)
Lineage: Eukaryota; Metazoa; Chordata; Crocodylia; Alligatoridae
Exons: 3
Source: RefSeq, a predicted model, not a curated record